This 237-nucleotide ribosomal RNA is filed under the name uncultured bacterium. Its description in RNAcentral is "partial 16S ribosomal RNA". It matches the Rfam family "Bacterial small subunit ribosomal RNA", at positions 99 to 334 of the family's 1533-position model. The record is from RNAcentral.
CGAACGGGUGAGUAACGCGUGAGGAACCUGCCUCAAAGAGGGGGACAACAGUUGGAAACGACUGCUAAUACCGCAUAAGCCCACGGCUCGGCAUCGAGCAGAGGGAAAAGGAGUGAUCCGCUUUGGGAUGGCCUCGCGUCCGAUUAGCUGGUUGGUGAGGUAACGGCCCACCAAGGCGACGAUCGGUAGCCGGACUGAGAGGUUGAACGGCCACAUUGGGACUGAGACACGGCCCAG